RNAcentral lists this ribosomal RNA (409 nucleotides) under Paenibacillus sp. 200(2012). RNAcentral describes it as "bacterial SSU rRNA". It matches the Rfam family "Bacterial small subunit ribosomal RNA", at positions 983 to 1394 of the family's 1533-position model. Lineage: Bacteria; Bacillati; Bacillota; Bacilli; Caryophanales; Paenibacillaceae. The record is from RNAcentral.
GAGGAYUUGAYGCYGUAGAGAUAUGSCUUUCCUUCGGGACAGAGGAGACAGGUGGUGCAUGGUUGUCGUCAGCUCGUGUCGUGAGAUGUUGGGUUAAGUCCCGCAACGAGCGCAACCCUUAUGCUUAGUUGCCAGCAGGUCAAGCUGGGCACUCUAAGCAGACUGCCGGUGACAAACCGGAGGAAGGUGGGGAUGACGUCAAAUCAUCAUGCCCCUUAUGACCUGGGCUACACACGUACUACAAUGGCCGGUACAACGGGAAGCGAAGCCGCGAGGUGAAGCCAAUCCUAGAAAAGCCGGUCUCAGUUCGGAUUGCAGGCUGCAACUCGCCUGCAUGAAGUCGGAAUUGCUAGUAAUCGCGGAUCAGCAUGCCGCGGUGAAUACGUUCCCGGGUCUUGUACACACCGAA